RNAcentral lists this ribosomal RNA (2178 nucleotides) under human gut metagenome. RNAcentral describes it as "bacterial LSU rRNA". It matches the Rfam family "Bacterial large subunit ribosomal RNA", at positions 242 to 2514 of the family's 2925-position model. The record is from RNAcentral.
AGUAGUGGCGAGCGAACGCGGAAGAGGCCAAACCUAAUGUAGUAAUAUGUUAGGGGUUCGGACAGUAUAAUGAAUUGUCGAGAUUUAGCCGAAUGUCAUGGGAAGGGCAAUCAAAGAAGGUGAAAAUCCUGUAGGCGAAAAGUUAAGACAUCAGACUGUAUCCAGAGUACCGCCGGACACGUGAAACCCAGUGGGAAUACGGGGGGACCAUCCUCCAAGCCUAAAUACUACUCGGUGACCGAUAGAGAAGAAGUACUGUGAAGGAAAGGUGAAAAGCACCCCGGAAGGGGAGUGAAAGAGAACCUGAAACCUUGUGUUUACAAGCACCGAAAGUUCAUCAACGAACGAUCGGGUACCUUUUGUAGAAUGGUCCGGCGAGUGAAUGUAACUGGCAAGGUUAAGCACUUAAGGUGUGAAGCCGUAGCGAGAGCGAGUCUAAAUAGGGCGCAUGAAGUCAGUUGUAUUCGACCCGAAACCGGGUGACCUACCCAUGUCCAGGCUGAAGUGCAGGUAAAACUUCAUGGAGGGCCGAACCGACUCCCGUUGAAAUGGUAGCGGAUGAGGUGUGGGUAGCGGAGAAAUUCCAAUCGAACCCGGAGAUAGCUGGUUCUCUCCGAAAUAGCUUUAGGGCUAGCCUUGGAAUAGAUUACUGGAGGUAAAGCACUGAAUUGGCUAGGGGCCGAGAGGUUACUGAACCUUAUCAAACUAAGAAUGCCAGAUAAUCGUUUUCCAGGAGUCAGACAGUGGGAGAUAAGUUUCAUUGUCAAAAGGGAAACAGCCCAGACCUACAGCUAAGGUCCCAAAUGUAUGCUAAGUGGAAAACGAUGUGGAGUUGCGAAAACAACCAGGAUGUUGGCUUAGAAGCAGCCACUCAUUAAAAGAGUGCGUAAUAGCUCACUGGUCGAGUGAUUCUGCGCCGAAAAUUUAACGGGGCUAAACUAUACACCGAAGCUUAGGAUACCGCAAGGUAUGGUAGGAGAGCGUUCUGUACGGAGUGAAGUCGUAGCGAAAGCGGCGGUGGACUGUACAGAAGUGAGAAUGCCGGAAUAAGUAGCGAGAAUUAAGUGAGAAUCUUAAUGGCCGAAAGUCUAAGGUUUUUGGAGGAAGGUUCGUCCGCUCCAAGUAAGUCGGGAGCUAAGGUCAGGCCGAAAGGCGUAGCCGAUGCACAAACGGUUGAUAUUCCGUUACCGUCUACAAUUUAAACAAAGGGACACAUACAAAGCGUUUAACCCGGGCGAUGGUUGACCCGGGCGCAAGGGACUGAAAUAAGAGUAGGGAAGUAAAUGUGGCGUAUGGCGAGAAAAGCUUUGUGAAUAGAAGUAGACGCCCGUACCGCAAACCGACACAGGUGGACAGGAAGAGAAUUCUAAGGCCAGCGGGAGAAGGGUAGUUAAGGAACUCGGCAAAUUGACUCCGUAACUUCGGAAUAAGGAGUGCUCGAAAGAGCCGCAGAGAAUAGGCCCAGGCGACUGUUUAGCAAAAACACAGGUCUCUGCCAAAUCGAAAGAUGAAGUAUAGGGGCUGACACCUGCCCGGUGCCGGAAGGUUAAGAGGAGGAGUGCAAGCUCCGAAUUGAAGCCCCGGUAAACGGCGGCCGUAACUAUAACGGUCCUAAGGUAGCGAAAUUCCUUGUCGGGUAAGUUCCGACCCGCACGAAUGGUGUAACGAUCUGGGCACUGUCUCAACUACCCACCCGGCGAAAUUGUAGUACCGGUGAAGAUGCCGGUUACCUGCGGCAAGACGGAAAGACCCCAUGGAGCUUUACUGUAGCCUGAUAUUGGGUUUCGGAAAUCUAUGUACAGGAUAGGCGGGAGACUGGGAAGUAUGAGCGUCAGCUUAUACGGAGUCAUUGUUGGGAUACCGCCCUUAGGUUUCUGGAAUUCUAACCUGCGACCGUGAAUCCGGUCGGGGGACAUUGUCAGGUGGGCAGUUUGACUGGGGCGGUCGCCUCCGAAAAGGUAACGGAGGCGCUCAAAGGUUGGCUCAGCACGGACGGAAACCGUGCCUCUGAGUGUAAACGCAAAAGCCAGCCUAACUGCGAGGAUGACGGUCCGAGCAGUAACGAAAGUUGGAGUUAGUGAUCCGGCGGUAUGUGAAUGGAAAUGCCGUCGCUCAACGGAUAAAAGCUACCCUGGGGAUAACAGGCUGAUCUCCCCCAAGAGUCCACAUCGACGGGGA